This 793-nucleotide ribosomal RNA is filed under the name Cantharocybe virosa. RNAcentral describes it as "LSU rRNA". It matches the Rfam family "Eukaryotic large subunit ribosomal RNA", at positions 88 to 848 of the family's 3401-position model. Lineage: Eukaryota; Fungi; Basidiomycota; Agaricomycetes; Agaricales; Hygrophoraceae. The record is from RNAcentral.
UGCGAGUGAAGCGGGAAAAGCUCAAAUUUGUAAUCUGACAGUUUUAUUGACUGUCCGAGUUGUAAACUAGAGAAGUGCUAUCCGCGCUGGACCGUGUACAAGUCUCCUGGAAUGGAGCGUCAUAGAGGGUGAGAAUCCCGUCUUUGACACGGACUGCCAGGGCUUUUGUGAUGCGCUCUCAAAGAGUCGAGUUGUUUGGGAAUGCAGCUCAAAAUGGGUGGUAAAUUCCAUCUAAAGCUAAAUAUUGGCGAGAGACCGAUAGCGAACAAGUACCGUGAGGGAAAGAUGAAAAGAACUUUGGAAAGAGAGUUAAACAGUACGUGAAAUUGUUGAAAGGGAAACGCUUGAAGUCAGUCGCGUCAUCCAGGGAUCAACCUUGCGGAUCCGUUCGCAGGGUGCACUUCCUGGCUUUGACGGGUCAGCAUCAAUUUUGACCGUCGGAUAAAGGUCAGGGGAAUGUGGCAUCUUCGGAUGUGUUAUAGCCCCUAAUCGCAUACGGUGGUUGGGAUUGAGGAACUCAGCAUGCCGAAAGGCCGGGGUCUUUUAAAGACUCACGUAAACGUGCUUAGGAUGUUGGCGAAAUGGCUUCAAUCGACCCGUCUUGAAACACGGACCAAGGAGUCUAACAUGCCUGCGAGUGUUUGGGUGGAAAACCCAAGCGCGUAAUGAAAGUGAAAGUUGAGACCUCUGUCGUGGAGGGCAUCGACGCCCGGACCUGACCUUUUGUGACGGAUCCGYGGUAGAGCAUGUAUGUUGGGACCCGAAAGAUGGUGAACUAUGCCUGAAUAGGGUG